Molecule: ribosomal RNA, 483 nt
Filed under: uncultured bacterium
Lineage: Bacteria
Description: partial 16S ribosomal RNA
Rfam family: Bacterial small subunit ribosomal RNA
Source: RNAcentral
GACGAACGCUGGCGGCGUGCUUAACACAUGCAAGUCGAACGCUGAAGCUCAGCUUUUGUUGGGUGGAUGAGUGGCGAACGGGUGAGUAACACGUGAGUAACCUGCCCCCUUCUUUGGGAUAACGCCCGGAAACGGGUGCUAAUACUGGAUAUUCACUGGUCUUCGCAUGGGGGUUGGUGGAAAGGGUUUUUCUGGUGGGGGAUGGGCUCGCGGCCUAUCUGCUUGGUGGUGGGGUGAUGGCCUACCAAGGCUUUGACGGGUAGCCGGCCUGAGAGGGUGACCGGUCACAUUGGGACUGAGAUACAGCCCAGACUACGACGGGGGGCAGCAGUGGGGAAAAUUGCACAAAGGGUGCAACCAUGAUGCAGCGACGCCGCGUGAGGGAUGGAGGCCUUCGGGUUGUGAACCUCUGUCGCUAAUGGUCAAGCCGAAACAAUGGUUGUGGUGAGGGUAGUGGGUAAAGAAGCGCCGGCUAACUACGUG